CAGUAGCCACGGGAACACGGAGGGAGCUAGCGUUGUUCGGAAUUACUGGGCGUAAAGCGCACGUAGGCGGCUUUGUAAGUUAGAGGUGAAAGCCUGGAGCUCAACUCCAGAAUUGCCUUUAAGACUGCAUCGCUUGAAUCCGGGAGAGGUGAGUGGAAUUCCGAGUGUAGAGGUGAAAUUCGUAGAUAUUCGGAAGAACACCAGUGGCGAAGGCGGCUCACUGGACCGGCAUUGACGCUGAGGUGCGAAAGCGUGGGGAGCAAACAGGAUUAGAUACCCCCGUAGUCCCUGUCUCUUAUAC
Molecule: ribosomal RNA, 301 nt
Filed under: uncultured bacterium
Lineage: Bacteria
Description: partial 16S ribosomal RNA
Rfam family: Bacterial small subunit ribosomal RNA
Source: RNAcentral